This 1445-nucleotide ribosomal RNA is filed under the name Aphanothece sacrum. RNAcentral describes it as "bacterial SSU rRNA". It matches the Rfam family "Bacterial small subunit ribosomal RNA". Lineage: Bacteria; Bacillati; Cyanobacteriota; Cyanophyceae; Chroococcales; Aphanothecaceae. The record is from RNAcentral.
AGGAUGAACGCUGGCGGUAUGCCUAACACAUGCAAGUCGAACGGUCACUUAGGUGAUAGUGGCGGACGGGUGAGUAACGCGUGAGAAUCUGCCCUCAGGAUGGGGACAACAGUUGGAAACGACUGCUAAUACCCGAUGUGCCGCAAGGUGAAAGAUUUAUCGCCUGAGGAGGAGCUCGCGUCUGAUUAGCUAGUUGGUAAGGUAAAGGCUUACCAAGGCAUCGAUCAGUAGCUGGUCUGAGAGGAUGAGCAGCCACACUGGGACUGAGACACGGCCCAGACUCCUACGGGAGGCAGCAGUGGGGAAUUUUCCGCAAUGGGCGAAAGCCUGACGGAGCAAUACCGCGUGAGGGAGGAAGGCUCUUGGGUUGUAAACCUCUUUUCUCUGGGAAGAAAAAAAUGACGGUACCAGAGGAAUAAGCAUCGGCUAACUCCGUGCCAGCAGCCGCGGUAAUACGGAGGAUGCAAGCGUUAUCCGGAAUCAUUGGGCGUAAAGCGUCCGUAGGUGGUUUUUCAAGUCUGCUGUCAAAGCCUGGGGCUUAACCCCAGAUAGGCAGUGGAAACUGGGAGACUAGAGUUCGGUAGGGGUAGCGGGAAUUCCCAGUGUAGCGGUGAAAUGCGUAGAUAUUGGGAAGAACAUCGGUGGCGAAGGCGCGCUACUGGGCCGAAACUGACACUCACAGGACGAAAGCUAGGGGAGCGAAAGGGAUUAGAUACCCCUGUAGUCCUAGCUGUAAACGAUGGAAACUAGGUGUGGCUUGUAUCGACCCGAGCCGUGCCGAAGCUAACGCGUUAAGUUUCCCGCCUGGGGAGUACGCACGCAAGUGUGAAACUCAAAGGAAUUGACGGGGGCCCGCACAAGCGGUGGAGUAUGUGGUUUAAUUCGAUGCAACGCGAAGAACCUUACCAGGGCUUGACAUGUCGCGAAUCUCUUAGAAAUAGGAGAGUGCCUUCGGGAACGCGAACACAGGUGGUGCAUGGCUGUCGUCAGCUCGUGUCGUGAGAUGUUGGGUUAAGUCCCGCAACGAGCGCAACCCUCGUUUUUAGUUGCCAUCAUUAAGUUGGGCACUCUAGAGAGACUGCCGGUGACAAACCGGAGGAAGGUGAGGAUGACGUCAAGUCAGCAUGCCCCUUACGCCCUGGGCUACACACGUACUACAAUGGUUGGGACAACGGGUAGCGACCCCGCGAGGGCAAGCGAAUCUCAUCAAACCCAGCCUCAGUUCAGAUUGCAGGCUGCAACUCGCCUGCAUGAAGGAGGAAUCGCUAGUAAUCGCAGGUCAGCAUACUGCGGUGAAUUCGUUCCCGGGCCUUGUACACACCGCCCGUCACACCAUGGAAGCUGGCCACACCCGAAGUCGUUACCCUAACCCUUGUGGAGGGGGACGCCGAAGGUGGGGCUAGUGACUGGGGUGAAGUCGUAACAAGGUAGCCGUACCGGAAGGU